AGCACUAUACAGUGAAACUGCGAAUGGCUCAUUAAAUCAGUUAUCGUUUAUUUGAUAGUACCUUACUACUUGGAUAACCGUGGUAAUUCUAGAGCUAAUACAUGCUAAAAAUCCCGACCUCCGGAAGGGAUGUAUUUAUUAGAUAAAAAACCAAUGCCUUCGGGCUCCUUGGUGAUUCAUGAUAACUUAACGAAUCGCAUGGCCUUGCGCCGGCGAUGGUUCAUUCAAAUUUCUGCCCUAUCAACUUUCGAUGGUAGGAUAGUGGCCUACCAUGGUUUCAACGGGUAACGGGGAAUUAGGGUUCGAUUCCGGAGAGGGAGCCUGAGAAACGGCUACCACAUCCAAGGAAGGCAGCAGGCGCGCAAAUUACCCAAUCCCGAUUCGGGGAGGUAGUGACAAUAAAUACUGAUACAGGGCUCUUUUGGGUCUUGUAAUUGGAAUGAGUACAAUUUAAAUCCCUUAACGAGGAACAAUUGGAGGGCAAGUCUGGUGCCAGCAGCCGCGGUAAUUCCAGCUCCAAUAGCGUAUAUUAAAGUUGUUGCAGUUAAAAAGCUCGUAGUUGAACCUUGGGUUUGGCUGCUCGGUCCGCCUAACCGCGUGCACUGAUGCGGCCGGAUCUUUCCUUCUGGCUAACCUCAUGCCCUUUACUGGGUGUGCUGGGGAUCCAGGACUUUUACUUUGAAAAAAUUAGAGUGUUCAAAGCACGCCUUUGCUCGAAUACAUUAGCAUGGAAUAAUAGAAUAGGACGGCGGUUCUAUUUUGUUGGUUUCUAGAGCCACCGUAAUGAUUAAUAGGGAUAGUCGGGGGCAUCAGUAUUCAAUUGUCAGAGGUGAAAUUCUUGGAUUUUAUUGAAGACUAACUACUGCGAAAGCAUUUGCCA
RNAcentral lists this ribosomal RNA (880 nucleotides) under Orbilia oligospora. RNAcentral's name for it is "SSU rRNA". It matches the Rfam family "Eukaryotic small subunit ribosomal RNA", at positions 68 to 960 of the family's 1831-position model. Lineage: Eukaryota; Fungi; Ascomycota; Orbiliomycetes; Orbiliales; Orbiliaceae. The record is from RNAcentral.